UACAUUCCUGUGGCUGAAAAAUCUUAUGAAGUUGUGAAGCAAAAGCGCUCCACUAAUUUGCCUGAGUUGAUGAGAUACAGUGACCUUGAGCCUCCUGUCUGAUUCAACAGGGCUUGAAUUUCUGGUAACUCCUCGCUCAAGACUGAUUUGCUCAUUAGCCUGUUGAGAGCACACAGCCUUGAGUCAACUAAAAUCCUUAUUUUCUGUCAACCCACUCUUCUUACAGCCACGUCUCACUCCAUUCUCCUACCUCUGAUACUUUACCCCAAGCCAUGAUAGUUCUUUUUCUCACUCUGGCCAGUCAUGACCUUAAAUCUCUUUCUUCCUUAAAAACUGUAGCCCAAAUUCCAUAUCCUUCAAGAUGUUCUUUUGAUUCACCCAACCAUCCCUCAUAGACAGUCUAAUCCUUGCCUCUUAAUGUGCAUUUCUUUUGCUUUCUGUUUGUCUACUAGCCACUUCUGUUUAAUGUUUAAACACAGUCCCAGAUUUCAUCAUCCAAGGUGCUAUUGACACAACCAGUGCAGUGCUCAAUGCCCAGCAGAUACAAAAGAAACUCCUACUGACAGUGCUAGCCAGGAGAAGCAGGAGUUCUUUUCUCCUAAGGCCACAGCAAGUGGAUGAUAAUGCUUCGUAAGGUAUGGACAAGGUUCUGACCCUUAUUAUUGGAACUCAAAUCCAGAUGGAGUUUGUUGGGUCUUCACAUCAUUGGAAGGUGAAUAGAAAAGUAUGUCUUCAGAAUUUCACCAUGUUUUGGAAGAAUUGCAGCAAUAAAGAAAGAAUUCCUUUGUUUCCACUCCAUUUCUUUUAAGGAAAACCUGGAAUAUCUGAGGGUGCAAGCUGAGAAAGGUCUGCUUAUCUAUUCCCUACUCUGGAGAUCAAAAACAAUCCAAGUCUACUGUUCUCUUCUCCUGGCACUCUUAACUUGUACACAUUGCAACAUUUUAUGUCAAAGUAAUGAUCAAGCUAUCCUAACAAGGACGAGCCCUUAUUAAAUAAUUCACUAUGG
Molecule: long non-coding RNA, 1006 nt
Filed under: Macaca mulatta (Rhesus monkey)
Lineage: Eukaryota; Metazoa; Chordata; Mammalia; Primates; Cercopithecidae
Description: lncRNA (ENSMMUG00000041551.2)
Source: RNAcentral